GAUGAAGAAUGCAGCGAAAUGCGAUACUUGGUGUGAAUUGCAGAAUCCCGUGAACCAUCGAGUCUUUGAACGCAAGUUGCGCCCGAAGCCAUUAGGCCGAGGGCACGCCUGCCUGGGUGUCACACGUCGUUGCCCCCCCAUCUACUCCUUCGGGAUUGCGGGGGGCGGAUGAUGGCCUCCUGUGCGCCUCGUCGCGCGGUUGGCAUAAAUGCCAAGUCCUCGGCGACGCACGCCACGACAAUCGGUGGUUGCGAAACCUCGGUUGCCCGUCGUGUGCGGUCGUCGCGCAUCGAGGGCUCGAAAAAAUUGCCGGGCUCCGGCUCGGCUUUCAACGCGACCCCAGGUCAGGCGGGGUUACCCGCUGAAUUUAAGCAUAUCAAUAAGCGGAGGA
RNAcentral lists this unclassified non-coding RNA (391 nucleotides) under soil metagenome. RNAcentral describes it as "partial contains 5.8S ribosomal RNA, internal transcribed spacer 2, and large subunit ribosomal RNA". The stretch from base 1 to 122 matches the Rfam family "5.8S ribosomal RNA", at positions 35 to 154 of the family's 154-position model. The record is from RNAcentral.